Molecule: long non-coding RNA, 1068 nt
Filed under: Panax ginseng (ginseng)
Lineage: Eukaryota; Viridiplantae; Streptophyta; Magnoliopsida; Apiales; Araliaceae
Description: long non-coding RNA (PGIN_LNC002829)
Source: RNAcentral
GAAGUUGUUCGCCAUGAUGCUGAUCCUAGUCUGAGGGCAUUUCUUUCGGUUGUGUUUGAGUCGGUAAGAUAUGUCCAAACAAUAAUCUGUAGUCAGUUUCUUAUUGACAUCUUGUUUAAUAGUUACUUCUUGGUUACAAUAGUUUGGAGUCAAAACAAAACAAAAUAUAUAGUGCAUUUGAGUUGGGAAAAAGUCUAAAUAAACUGUUUACUCUUGUGGCAUGUAUAUAAAUUAAAGUUACACCAGUGGGUGAACUGUUCUUGGACUUUCUUCUUUAAAACUAAGAUAUUUUCCUUGACUCUAAAGGGCCACUGAUGAAAUUUAAAGAUAUGCACUUAAUAUUUGUAAGCAAUGAAGUAUUUUUGGUCAUCCAAUGCCUCAUUUUGCUCAUGCUUCUAUAUUCAAAGGCAAAGGUUCCUUCAAAAAUUUAAAUCAAGUCUUUUGUAUGGUCUUUUAACCUUUUUUUCUAGCUUAACACUAGUGACAUGUGUCAAGAUAUAGGGCAUACAAAUCUUUGUCUCCGAAUGUGUGUUAAUGUGUAUGCAGGAAAAUCUUAUACACAGGAAAAUCUUUGUGGUUGUGGUUCUCGCUGUUGCUGCUAUGUCGUGCAGUUGCUGUUGGUUUUGUCUUGCUGCUGGUGCGACUGUUGGUUUGCUUCAAUUCCCAUGGACUGUCUUGGUUUUGGGCUGUUGGGUCAUGUUUGGGGGUUGCUGAUGUUUUUCUUUUCGGUGAGCUUUGUUCCAUCUGUUGCACUGCUGUAGUUAUGUGUUGCAGCAACAGUCUUGUUCGCUACUUCUGUUGAUUGUCUCUGCUUUUGUUUUGCUGUGGCCUCCUAUUUUCUUUUGGUUUGUGUCGUGUUGUUCUUGCUGAUUGGUUGGUCUGUUGGUUUCAGCUGUGUUGUUGUUCUGAUAUACGGGAUUCAUUUUUUUGUGUUUGGGUUGUUUGGGUUCUUUUGGGUAAAGGCUUUUUAAUGCUUUAUUGUAAUAUCAAAAUUUAAGCCUAUUGCUGAUAUUAAAUUCUAUUUUUGGUAUAUUCUUGCCAUUAUAGGGCAUGUUCUAUGAUCGUCAU